UACGGAAGGGGCUAGCGUUGUUCGAAAUUACUGGGCGUAAAGAGCGCGUAGGCGGCUUACCAAGUUGGGGGUGAAAUCCCGGAGCUCAACUCCGGAACUGCCUUCAAAACUGGUAGGCUCGAGUCCGGAAGAGGGGCGUGGAAUUCCCAGUGUAGAGGUGAACUGCGUAGAUAUUGGGAAGAACACCGGUGGCGAAGGCGGCGCCCUGGUCCGGUACUGACGCUGAGGCGCGAAAGCGUGGGGAGCAAACAGG
RNAcentral lists this ribosomal RNA (253 nucleotides) under uncultured bacterium. RNAcentral's name for it is "partial 16S ribosomal RNA". It matches the Rfam family "Bacterial small subunit ribosomal RNA", at positions 524 to 776 of the family's 1533-position model. The record is from RNAcentral.